GCAGCCAUAGGCAAUGGUGUCUGCCUUGAACCGCCUGGAUACAGCUCAGGAUGAUGGCGCCUGCUCCCAG
RNAcentral lists this non-coding RNA (70 nucleotides) under Cesiribacter andamanensis. RNAcentral describes it as "Fluoride sequence". It matches the Rfam family "Fluoride riboswitch aptamer (crcB RNA motif)". Lineage: Bacteria; Pseudomonadati; Bacteroidota; Cytophagia; Cytophagales; Cesiribacteraceae. RNAcentral also lists the same sequence under 1 other name. The record is from RNAcentral.